This 464-nucleotide ribosomal RNA is filed under the name uncultured bacterium. RNAcentral describes it as "partial 16S ribosomal RNA". It matches the Rfam family "Bacterial small subunit ribosomal RNA", at positions 29 to 507 of the family's 1533-position model. The record is from RNAcentral.
ACGAACGCUGGCGGCGUGCUUAACACAUGCAAGUCGAACGGAAAGGCCCCUUUGGGGGUACUCGAGUGGCGAACGGGUGAGUAACACGUGAAUAACCUGCCCUUGACUUCGGGAUAACUUCAGGAAACUGGGGCUAAUACCGGAUAGGAAUCCUUGCUGCAUGGUGGGGGUUGGAAAGCUUCGGCGGUUUUGGAUGGACUCGCGGCUUAUCAGCUUGUUGGUGGGGUAGUGGCUUACCAAGGCUUUGACGGGUAGCCGGCCUGAGAGGGCGACCGGCCACAUUGGGACUGAGAUACGGCCCAGACUCCUACGGGAGGCAGCAGUGGGGAAUAUUGCACAAUGGGCGGAAGCCUGAUGCAGCAACGCCGCGUGCGGGAUGACGGCCUUCGGGUUGUAAACCGCUUUCAGCAGGGGCGAAGCUUGUGGUGACGGUACCUGCAGAAGAAGCACCGGCUAACUACGUG